CAAACGACUCUCGGCAACGGAUAUCUCGGCUCUCGCAUCGAUGAAGAACGUAGCGAAAUGCGAUACCUGGUGUGAAUUGCAAAAUCCCGCGAACCAUCGAGACUUUGAACGCAAGUUGCGCCCGAGGCCUUCGGGCCGAGGGCACGCCUGCCUGGGCGUCACGC
RNAcentral lists this ribosomal RNA (164 nucleotides) under Canna indica (Indian-shot). RNAcentral's name for it is "5.8S ribosomal RNA". It matches the Rfam family "5.8S ribosomal RNA". Rfam says of the family: 5.8S ribosomal RNA (5.8S rRNA) is a component of the large subunit of the eukaryotic ribosome. It is transcribed by RNA polymerase I as part of the 45S precursor that also contains 18S and 28S rRNA. The record is from RNAcentral. Lineage: Eukaryota; Viridiplantae; Streptophyta; Magnoliopsida; Zingiberales; Cannaceae.